UACGUAGGGUGCAAGCGUUGUCCGGAAUUAUUGGGCGUAAAGAGCUCGUAGGCGGUUUGUCGCGUCUGCUGUGAAAACUCGGAGCUCAACUCCGGGCCUGCAGUCGAUACGGGCAGACUGGAGUUCGGCAGGGGAGACUGGAAUUCCUGGUGUAGCGGUGAAAUGCGCAGAUAUCAGGAGGAACACCGGUGGCGAAGGCGGGUCUCUGGGCCGAUACUGACGCUGAGGAGCGAAAGCGUGGGGAGCGAACAGG
This 253-nucleotide ribosomal RNA is filed under the name uncultured bacterium. RNAcentral describes it as "partial 16S ribosomal RNA". It matches the Rfam family "Bacterial small subunit ribosomal RNA", at positions 524 to 776 of the family's 1533-position model. The record is from RNAcentral.